Molecule: ribosomal RNA, 465 nt
Filed under: uncultured bacterium
Lineage: Bacteria
Description: bacterial SSU rRNA
Rfam family: Bacterial small subunit ribosomal RNA
Source: RNAcentral
CCUACGGGAUGCACCAGUGGGGAAUUUUGGACAAUGGGGGCAACCCUGAUCCAGCCAUGCCGCGUGUGUGAAGAAGGCCUUCGGGUUGUAAAGCACUUUCGGCCGGAACGAAAUCGCGUGGGCUAACACCCCGCGUGGAUGACGGUACCGGAAGAAGAAGCACCGGCUAACUACGUGCCAGCAGCCGCGGUAAUACGUAGGGUGCGAGCGUUAAUCGGAACUACUGGGCGUAAAGUGUGCACAGGUGGCCGCGCAAGUCGAGUGUGAAAGCCCCGGGCUUAACUUGGGAAUUGCGCUCGAAACUACGUGGCUAGAGUGUGGCAGAGGGAGGUGGAAUUCCACGUGUAGCGGUGAAAUGCGUAGAGAUGUGGAGGAACACCAAUGGCGAAGGCAGCCUCCUGGGCCAACACUGACACUCAUGCACGAAAGCGUGGGGAGCAAACAGGAUUAGAUACCCGGGUAGUC